AAUGGGGGAAACCCUGACGGAGCGACGCCGCGUGGACGAUGAAGGCCGUAAGGUUGUAAAGUCCUUUUGCAGGAGAAGAAUAAGGGUGGGAGUGGAAAGCCCGUCUGAUGACGUUAUCCUGCGAAUAAGCCCCGGCCAAUUACGUGCCAGCAGCCGCGGUAAUACGUAUGGGGCGAGCGUUGUUCGGAGUUAUUGGGCGUAAAGGGCGUGUAGGCGGCCCGAGAAGUCUGGUGUGAAAUCGCAGGGCCUAACCCGGCGGGUGCGCUGGAAACUGUCGGGCUGGAGUCCCGGGGGGGAAGCUGGAAUUCCUGGUGUAGGAGUGAAAUCUGUAGAGAUCAGGAAGAACACCGGUGGCGAAGGCGAGCUUCUAUUCGAGGACUGACGCUGAGGCGCGAAAGCGUGGGGAGCAAA
This 411-nucleotide ribosomal RNA is filed under the name uncultured bacterium. Its description in RNAcentral is "bacterial SSU rRNA". It matches the Rfam family "Bacterial small subunit ribosomal RNA", at positions 370 to 772 of the family's 1533-position model. The record is from RNAcentral.